Molecule: ribosomal RNA, 407 nt
Filed under: uncultured bacterium
Lineage: Bacteria
Description: partial 16S ribosomal RNA
Rfam family: Bacterial small subunit ribosomal RNA
Source: RNAcentral
AUUGAACGCUGGCGGCAGGCCUAACACAUGCAAGUCGAGCGGAGCGGAGGAGGGGAGAGUAAUGCAUAGGAAUCGGAAUGGUAGGGGGGGAUAAGGUCAGGAAAGGGGAGCUAAGACCGCAUACUAUCACAUUAGCCGAGGGCGGAUUAGCUAGUUGGGGGGGUAAAGGCUCACCAAGGCGACGAUCCGUAACUGGUCUGAGAGGAUGAUCAGCCACACUGGAACUGAGACACGGUCCAGACUCCUACGGGAGGCAGCAGUGGGGAAUAUUGCACAAUGGGCGAAAGCCUGAUCCAGCCAUGCCGCGUGUGUGAAGAAGGUCUUCGGAUUGUAAAGUACUUUCAGUUGGGAGGCGUUACCCACAGAAUAAGCACCGGCUAACUCCGUGCCAGCAGCCGCGGUAAUUC